Molecule: ribosomal RNA, 492 nt
Filed under: uncultured bacterium
Lineage: Bacteria
Description: partial 16S ribosomal RNA
Rfam family: Bacterial small subunit ribosomal RNA
Source: RNAcentral
AGUGAACGCUGGCGGUAGGCCUAACACAUGCAAGUCGAACGGCAGCACAGUAAGAGCUUGCUCUUACGGGUGGCGAGUGGCGGACGGGUGAGGAAUACAUCGGAAUCUACUUUUUCGUGGGGGAUAACGUAGGGAAACUUACGCUAAUACCGCAUACGACCUACGGGUGAAAGCAGGGCAUCUUCGGAUCUUGCGCGAUUGAAUGAGCCGAGGUCGGAUUAGCUAGUUGGCGGGGUAAAGGCCCACCAAGGCGACGAUCCGUAGCUGGUCUGAGAGGAUGAUCAGCCACACUGGAACUGAGACGCGGUCCAGACUCCUACGGGAGGCAGCAGUGGGGAAUAUUGGACAAUGGGCGCAAGCCUGAUCCAGCCAUACCGCGUGGGUGAAGAAGGCCUUCGGGUUGUAAAGCCCUUUUGUUGGGAAAGAAAAGCAGCAGGUUAAUACCCCGCUGUUCUGACGGUACCCAAAGAAUAAGCACCGGCUAACUUCGUG